RNAcentral lists this ribosomal RNA (775 nucleotides) under uncultured Neocallimastigales. RNAcentral describes it as "partial large subunit ribosomal RNA". It matches the Rfam family "Eukaryotic large subunit ribosomal RNA", at positions 20 to 616 of the family's 3401-position model. The record is from RNAcentral. Lineage: Eukaryota; Fungi; Neocallimastigomycota; Neocallimastigomycetes; Neocallimastigales.
UACUAGAGUAGCACUCGCAUAUCAAUAAGCGGAGGAAAAGAAACUAACAAGGAUUCCCCUAGUAACGGCGAGUGAAGCGGGAAGAGCUCAAAUUUGAAAUCUUAAAGGGUUUCCCUUUACGAAUUGUAGUUUAAAGAAGUGUUUUCUGUUGAGGUUUUGGUAAAAGUUCUUUGGAAUAGGACAUCAUAGAGGGUGAGAAUCCCGUAUUUGACCUUUACUUUCAACUUUGUGAUACACUUUCAAAGAGUCGGAUUGUUUGGGAAUGCAGUCCAAAAUGGGUGGUAAAUUUCAUCUAAAGCUAAAUAUUGGCGAGAGACCGAUAGCGAACAAGUACCGUGAGGGAAAGAUGAAAAGGAACUUUGAAAAGAGAGUUAAACAGUACGUGAAAUUGUCAAAAGGGAAGCGUUUGACACCAGUGUUGUUUUUCUGAAAAUCAAUUAAAGAACUGUUUAUGCUAAGUUGUUUAGACUUUAUCAGCUAUCUGUUUAGUUUUGAGCUUUUCUUUAAUGCACUUUUCAGUUAACAAGUCAACAUCAAUUUCUUUUGCUGUAAAAAAGCUUGAGGAAGGUGGCUUGAGAUUCGUCUUAAGUGUUUAUAGCCUCUUGCCUAUGCAGUCGGAGAGAUUGAGGUCUGCAGCGUAGAUCCUUCGGGGCUAAAUGCAUUUGUGCUAAGUUAUAGCAUUUUAUAGACAACUUGUUGACUAUGAUUUGUCUUGUAGCUUACUCGCUUAUGUUAUUUUACCUACGCUUAGGAUGUUGAGCGCAUGUCUCUCUCU